RNAcentral lists this unclassified non-coding RNA (218 nucleotides) under Hevea brasiliensis (rubber tree). The record is from RNAcentral. Lineage: Eukaryota; Viridiplantae; Streptophyta; Magnoliopsida; Malpighiales; Euphorbiaceae.
AAAGAAGAAUACCUCACUGCUCAACCUCGAGGCCAAACCCUAAAUUAUAGAAACAGAAAAGAAAGCAAAGAAGCCCAAUUCAAUUGCCUGAGCAAAAACCUCUCUCUUGCUGUUCGUGUCGGUCACAGUGCGCCUGUGAGAGAUGAGACGAUUGGGAGGAAGAGUAGCAUCUCUACAAGAACUAGAAAAUCAGGGAGAGGCAUAAAAGCAGUUGAAGA